AAAUAACAAUGCGGGGCUUAAAGUCUUGUAAUUGGAAUGAUGGGAAUUUAAACCUCUUCCAGAGUAUCAAUUGGAGGGCAAGUCUGGUGCCAGCAGCCGCGGUAAUUCCAGCUCCAAUAGCGUAUAUUAAAAUUGUUGCAGUUAAAAAGCUCGUAGUUGAAUUUCUGCUGUAUUGCAUUUUCUCUUUUUAUAUGAGUUUUUGCAUUAUGGCUUAUUUCAGUAUUAAUUUUUUAUUAUUACUGAAUGUUUACUUUGAGAAAAUUAGAGUGCUCAAAGCAGGCUUUUGCCUUGAAUAGUUUAGCAUGGAAUAAUAAAGUAGGACUUUGGUUCUAUUUUGUUGGUUUUAGGUACCAAAGUAAUGGUUAAUAGGAACAGUUGGGGGCAUUCGUAUCUA
RNAcentral lists this ribosomal RNA (394 nucleotides) under Theileria sp. MA-2012. Its description in RNAcentral is "SSU rRNA". It matches the Rfam family "Eukaryotic small subunit ribosomal RNA", at positions 475 to 900 of the family's 1831-position model. The record is from RNAcentral. Lineage: Eukaryota; Apicomplexa; Aconoidasida; Piroplasmida; Theileriidae.